Molecule: unclassified non-coding RNA, 148 nt
Organism: Pongo abelii (Sumatran orangutan)
Lineage: Eukaryota; Metazoa; Chordata; Mammalia; Primates; Hominidae
Rfam family: Metazoan signal recognition particle RNA
About the family: The signal recognition particle (SRP) is a universally conserved ribonucleoprotein. It is involved in the co-translational targeting of proteins to membranes. The eukaryotic SRP consists of a 300-nucleotide 7S RNA and six proteins: SRPs 72, 68, 54, 19, 14, and 9.
Source: Ensembl
GCUGGGCGUGGUGGUGCAUGCCUGUAGUCCCAGCUACUCGGGAGGCUGAGGCAGGAGAAUCACUUGAACCCAGGAGGUGGAGGUUGCAGUGAACCGAGAUUGCACCACUGCACUCCAGCCUGGGCAACAAAGUGAGACUCUGUCUCAA